CCUGCAACUUCAGAGAGAGCCCGAACUAUCUUCCAGUCAUCCCUGGCAUCACCAACUGUUGGAACUGCAGGCAAAGUCUGUUGAGCGCACCCUUCUGUAUUUUCAUAAGUUCCUUCCUUUUCAGUGAACGCUGCUGCUGGCAAUAUGACGUUGGCAUGAUAUACCCCAUGAUCCCCAUGGUGCCCCUGAUAAACCACAAAGGCAUCCUUCGGCAGCUUGUCCAAGUUCACAUCAUCAGAACCCAUCAAAUAAACAAACUUGGCAGACUCGAGGCUAUUGCCGGAUUCUGGCACAAGUCCAAGGUCAAGGGCUGCCGCUUGGGCAGCAUUGAGAAGCAAUACAUUGAAUCCAUUCCAGUCAGGUCUCACGACGUUCCCCUUCUUUGCAAUUGCCUCAACAGUAGAAAAAAUUGCAUCCUUGUCUGUUCUCUCAAAGAUUC
This 439-nucleotide long non-coding RNA is filed under the name Manihot esculenta (cassava). Its description in RNAcentral is "long non-coding RNA (MESC_LNC000826)". Lineage: Eukaryota; Viridiplantae; Streptophyta; Magnoliopsida; Malpighiales; Euphorbiaceae. The record is from RNAcentral.